Non-coding RNA from Rattus norvegicus (Norway rat), 8865 nucleotides. NCBI's taxonomy places the organism in Eukaryota, Metazoa, Chordata, Mammalia, Rodentia, Muridae. The record is from RefSeq and is a predicted model, not a curated record.
AUGGGAGCUCCAUAGAGGUCCAAGAGCCCACCUCGUGAAGGAAGGCGGGUCACGGGACCCCAGGAGGUUAUAAGGAAUACGAGUUAGGCAAGUAAGACAUUCUUUGUUCACAGCACACAGGUUGCUAAACCGGAUGCUGGCAGACACCUGGGCACACGCCUGCAUAAACGGGCUAUACACAGUGGGCACAGGCACUCAUGCUGGCUGGCGCAUAGGUGAGCACACACAGCCCUACACAGACCAGCAAAUGCAAAAAGUGAAAGCGAAGGUGAAGCCUUCUGACCUCAAGGACGUAUUCACACGGAAUCCCACAAAAGCAGCACUUUAGCAGGAAUGGGUAUAUAGCAGAUUACAUCACUGUUUGCUUUGGGGUCCUCCAGACACACGAGGUCAGUCAUUUUGCACUCACCUAUAGGUGCACUCCCAAGGUGCCUAGCGUCUGCCGUCUUGGCCCACUGCAGAUAAGCCAAUCAGUGCUAUGCUGUCUAACAUAGUCUGGCUUUACUAUCCAUUCCUCUGUUCCCUUCAGAUAGUGAAGAGGGUGAUGCUCUUCACGUGAGCUUCAGAAGAGGAAGCUGUCGGUGCACAGGAAGGGUCAACGGGAUUUCCGCAAGGGAUGAUGGGGCUUCUUCCACUAGAGAGUAAGCUUCCUCCAUGAGGCUUCUCCUUGCUCCCCUGGCAGGACUCCUGCAUGAACAAGGAUUAUACAAAUUCCCACUUCCAGACCACUUGUGGCAAUGAAAUGAGAUGCCUGGGUACUUUGUCCUUUUGGUCCCCUCCCCCUGUGCAUGUCCUCCUGUGAUUAUCAUCUCUAGAUUGUGCCAUAUCCUUUUGCACGAACGCACGCACGCACGCACGGACGCACGCACAGCACACGUAUGGCUGUCAUGACCAUAGUGAGUUAGAAGGAAAUGAAUUUUGCUUCUGAACUUUGAGAUAGAACUUCCCCUUGCCUCUGUUAAUCCCCAAGAUGAGAGGAGAAAAGCCUCCUCCCCAAAUCGUCUUGGCAAACUUCAUGUGUGUACAUGGCCCGCCUCCCCCUGAGGUGGGGUUGGAAAGGCCAACCUUGGAUGUGAGCAGGAAGUGUUUUUAAAGCUCAGGGGUAGGGGGAUUCCAAAAGAGAUAAAAGCCAGGUUACAGGAGCAAAAUAUAACAGUUGACCAAAACAAGGAAACCACAACGGGUAGUCACAGCAAGUUAGUCACAGAGGGGCGGGGUCUUAGAACCUUCGAAACAAAGGCAGGGUCGCAAGGUGGUUAGAAAUAAUGAGACAAAGAAAUUAUUGCCAUUCCUGGAGAAACAGGUUUAAUCAUAAACAGGAGUGAGCUGAGCUUGUCUUUACUAUAGGGUGGCUUUUAAGCCUAAAAUGGAGGCUGGUUGGUUCUUCACGUCCACUAAUGAAGAGCAUGAUUCCAGGCCCCUUCCCGACAACCCUUUCGCCGGCAUCACCAGUGAGAGACAGGACACACGGACUCAGCCCCUGCUCUUGUUUCCGCUUUGGUAAACUCAGAAGUUCAGGCAAAAUGGAAGGAAGCAGUCGGUCCAAGGAAAACACAGGCCGCCAACCAAGAGGGCCCCGAGUGACUGGAACGAAGAGCAGGCCACAGUUUACUGUGAGACCCUCCUUCACAGGGGUGGGGAGAGUGGCCAGGACGAAACCACAACAAAUGAGAGGAACUGAAACAGAUGCCCUUUCAAAGCUCUCAUCAAAAAUCUAAUGAGCCGCGCUCUGUGGACGCGAUGGUGCUUUACUGACUAAAAGGCAGUUCUUCAUGAUGUCUAGCUCAGAGCCAGAUCUCUCUUUUCCACACACGGCCAAGAGAAGCGCUGCUAUCUUUGCCACCACUGAUGUUUUUCUUUGAUUGUCUUUUUUUUUUUUAUAAUAGAUCCAAAAGGGACAGACAUCCGAUUUCAUCCUCCCCUGAUAUAUAGAACUUACAGAGGCUUUUAGAAGAUACAACAAACAGAUUAUAUGUAAAUCAAUAACAAUUUUUCUUUUGUCGCUCAAACCAUGAAUACCAAGUAGCUAGGUUUCAUGCUAUCCCAAUAAGAAUAUCUUUUUGCCAGAUCCCUAACUUUCCAUCACAUCGGCAUGCCACAGCUGAGACAGCUAAGCGCGGUGCAAUUAGUCAGACAAAAUGGAGGACCACGCAAGGCUUCGCCCACUCUCCUGCAAACCAGAUGGAUGCAUCUGGCAUUCGGGGCUGAUGAUAAGUUAUCCCUGAUAAGGACCAUUUGUACCGUAAUAGCACUGUCUAUGCCUCAAGCCCUGGAGACCAAGCAUACGCUACGCACUCGACAGUAAACCCACGGGAGUACUUCGGAGCAUUUUUAAAAUUCCAAGGGAAACACAGAGGCAUCUGUCAGACCGUGCACAAAUUACUACUAUUAAGUUAUCUGGAUUUACCUACUUAAUAAGCACAACUGUUAGAAAUUCCUCUUGGCUGAGAGCGGCCAUGGGGACCAGAGUAAAUGUUCUGUGAACAGAAAGUUUGGAGACUUAAGCCUUGAGCCUAAGCUGCGGGAGAGGGUGUGUGUGGGGGUAGCAUGUGAAGUGACAAAUGUUCUUAGGAAAGAGUUGCAGCACCCAGACCACAGCCUGGUGAUUCUGUCCUUCCAGUAGGUCAAGAUCAUGGCUUUGUCACCAGACUCCUAGAUCUUCCUGGAUAGUGACUUCAAGACCAUCCUAGAGCACUUCCUGACCAUGGCCCCAGGGAGACAGGGAUGUGCUCAGGGAUCACGAGUUCCCUGUUAGAACUGAGAACAGCCUGCAUUGUUUUUUCAGGCUUUGCUAUAUGGGAAAGAGCAGAAAACAGCUAGGACCCAGGUCCACUUCUGUAAAAUAUUACAAUUAAGCCUAUGCAUGUUUAGCUUCAAAUGAAUGAGACUCGAACUAUAGUUUUUAUUUAUUAAGCUCUGCACAGUUAGUGGGGGAUCACCCCCAGUCUAAAUCUUUAUCACUUGCCUGACAACCUCCUCAUCUGUGCUCCCCAAAUACUUGCUGUUUGAAACUCUGGGUUCAUUUCUGACUCAGCAGUCUGGCGUCUUGGGAAGACAUCACAACUAAUGGAGACCUCCCGUUCUCUCCAUCUUCUCUGCAUUCCUUUUCUUUCUCCCUCUUCCCAACUUGUGACCCCCAUCUCAGUAACACAAACUCUCUCUAUUCCCCCAGUAAUUGGCUGUCAGCAGUUUCGUUUAACCUGUGGUUUUUCAUUGGGGAGCAAGGUUUAUGCAACAAAGGCUGGUGGUAUACGUGAGAAUCCACUCAUCUCGAAGCAACCAGACCUUGGGGCACACAAUUCAGCAUCUGAAUAUAAGUAGCGGCAGACCAACCCCUUGCAUGUUUCCAUAUGGUCACACUCUUCCAAACGUUAGUAGUUUCCCCUUCUAGUAGGUUGGUCCCAUCUUUUCUCCAAUAUCUGUGGAGAGAACAUCGUGUGUGUGUGUGUGUGUGUGUGUGUGUGUGUGUGUGUGUGUGUGUGUGUGCAUGCUGAAUCUACAUUAGAAUGUAAAUUCCCUUAAAACAUGACUUCACAUGUGUACCACCGUAUAACCAGUACCUACCUAUCAGAGUACCUGUCCUACAGCAGGCACUCAGUAAGCAUAUUGAGUGAAUUCACUAGAGUUUCAUGGAAGAAAUAAGCCCUAGCACCCUGUCCUCCACCAUAUGAAGUAUCUUCUCUCCUAUGCAUCAAGAAUGACGCUGACUACGCACCUUGGAGGGACGGAGAACACAGUCUCUUUAAGUAAUGUCUGUGCACUUUGAUUCAGAGAAGGAAAGUCUGAGUUCUCGGGCAAAUGUACAGUUGAAGAGUCAUCCUCCUCUACAGCCUGUUUGGACUACCCGACCCACGCUUUUCCCUCCACUAAACAGUUCAGGGAUGGUAAUGGUUGAGCCCAAAGCUCCUGCUCCUAGUGGAUGUCCAGUCGUCCCUGGAAGGUGGCUUGUGGGACCUAACAGCUCUGUCAGCAGAUCUGGCCUUUUAAAGUUCUUAUGAAAGAGGACGUGCAUGAUUGAGGCCACAGUCUGGGUGCUGUCUGGUACUGAUAAGGCUGCCUGGGAACACCCUGUCCUACCCCUGCCCCAAACCAAAGGAUCUUUGAGAGGCAGCCAAGCAUGUGAGCCCAGCUAAGCAGGCCUAAGUGCAUUAUCUUGUCUAAGCAAAGCAUGAGAAGUAAAUUAAGAUCCUCGCUGACAUCACCGACUUAAUGUGUAAGAAAAGAAAAAGAAAACAAGCAACCCCCUCCCCCCUGCUUUUACCUAAUGCAUGACCACUGCCCUAAAGAAGAUCCCCUCCCUUCCCAUAAAAUUGUAUUUAACCUUAAGAAAAAAAAAGAUCUCUUCUCUUCUGCCAUCUCAUUCUGUAAAGAGUCUUUUAGAUCAUCUUUCUCUGGUCAUUUCUAAACCAUUCACUAGAAGGGGGGAUGGCAUCACCUUAACUAACUUAGACCCAUAAGAUCUGUGCAUGGCAAAGAACUUCACAGCUAGCAGGGGCACUGAGAGAGAAGACUACUGCAUUAAAUGUUUCUAUUGUCGGACCGAUGCCUCAGACAUCCUCCGGCAGCUGCAGUGGCCAAAUGGCUUAAAGAAAAUAAAAAGACGCCACACGACUUGCUGUUUCCAGAAAGCGCUGCUUCAUCAUCACUCCUGCACGCCAUGUGUGUGUGAGUCACACAGAUGAGACAUGCUGGAAACCACGGAAGAUCCCACAGCCGGGUAAACAUGACAAGCUGUGAGCGGAGCCUGAGCCUGGCUGUUGAACGGGUGUCCCUCCAGCUCCAGGGGUAUUCGAGUGACUCCACUGAGAUUGGGGCUGAGCUUUGAAAACAGGUUUAUCAGCGAGACUGGGAAGCAUUCAGAAAGAGGGGGAAAUAGAAACAAGGUCACGGGGGAGCCGGAGUGAGGGCAGUAUGUUAGUUUUCCUCCCGCUCUGUAACAAGUGGACAUAAACUUGGUGGCUUAAAAAAAAUACAAACUGCCCAAUAGUUCGGUAGGUCAGAAGUCUGACAUGCAUCGUGCUGGGCUAACAGUGACUAGCAGGGCUGUGUCGAUCGCUGAAAGCCCUAAUAGGGAAACAAACAAUGGCCUCUGCUCAUGCGCUUGUGCUGACAUCGCUGGCGUCCUCUCUUCCUUCAUCACGGGCAGCAAGAGAGGCUUGAAGUCUUUUCAUGAUGCCAUAUCAGUUCCAUUUCAAAAGACCCAUGUGGCUAGACUGGACCCUGGAUAAGCUGGCAUGAUUUUCCCAUCUCAAAUGUUCAGCCUUAAUAAUGUCUGCAAAAAAAAAAAUGCUUCUGCUACAGAAGGAUACCCUGUUCUCCAGGUAGAUUAGACUGGACAUUAUGGAGUGGGUAAUGCUGCCUAACACAAAAAAGAAAAAAAAAAAAAGCAGAUGGCUCACACUGCCCCAGCUGAGAGACCAAGCAUAGAGAGGGAGGCAGAGGUCAUCUCUAGAUUUGUGACAAUUCUAGGUCUAAUGUUCUUGAAUAAUGGAACUUUUUUUUCUGGGUUCUCAACUCAUAAUCAUUUCUUCCCACAGAUCUUACCCACUAGCCAAGAGCAUCUUCAACCCCUAAAGGAGAGCAGUGCAUCCCUGUUCUAGCUUGGUGAUUUUACUACCAUCUCUGUUAGGCUAGGAUAUGCUUUGCUGUGACAAUCAGUGAUCCCCAACUCCCAAAUGCUUAAGACAGUUUCCUCUUGAUCAUCCUGCCUGUUCACCAGAGGUUGGCCAAGGAGCCCUUCCCCAAAUCCCCAAUCCCCUCACUUCAGAGCUCAGACUCACAGGAAAAUUGGUAACUUAAACCUUUCCAGAUUCCACACAGAAAGAAUGAAAAUUUUAAAUGGUUUCACACCAGACAUUACAAGCCCCAGCCUAAAGGAGACAAAAGUCCACUCUACUCCGGUUCAUUGACCCAAGCUCUUUGUGCAAGGCCACCUGCACAGACCAUCAGGCAGAGGAGCCCACCAGUGACUACUAGUAAAGGGAGGGAAAUUUGUGAGUUGACAGACAGCUACUUCAGGUUUGCAAGAGCUGUACUGAUAUGCUUCAAUAUCUUCUGUGCAGAGUCAUGGAGAUCUUUUGACUGUAGCCAAUCAGACAUCGAGGCUCUCUUACUCUUGCUUCCCACUGUCCCACAGCCAUCGACUGACCUCGCUUGCUACACCGCCAUCUCUGUUACUACCAGGCAACAAAAUGGACUCUGGUGUUUCCAAAAUUUAUUUCACUGUGCUUGUUAGAAAUCCACUUUUCAUUCAGAACAAAUAUAAAUCAAAUACACACCUUUACAUGUGUAUACAUACCUAUACAUGCGUAUACACACGUGUGCACAUGAACUGAAGACAAAGUUCACUCAUAUUUACUAUCCCUCCCUCUUCACUGGCGUGAUCAUACCCCAGUGCCUUGGCUUCAUGAACUACUUAGCUUGUUGACCAAGAGCCCCUGAUAUUUAGGAAGACGCUCCUUUUUCUCCUGCCAGCCCUCUUGGUUUUCCUCUUGGGUUUCUUUCGUUCAUCCCUUCAUCAUUAAUCAAAACUUUAUAAAGAUCUUGUCACUCGAGGCAAGAUGAGCUAGAGGCUGAAAUUACAAAGAUGGGUAAAACAGAGCCUGUGUUCUUCAAGAGUUUAUAGAUUAGAAGAGACUGACAUACAAACAAGGAGUUGUUGUGGCAUGAGAGACAUUCUGUAAUUAAAGAAUGGAAAUAUUUUCAUGAGAAUUCAGAGGGAAAGCAACAUAUUCUACUUAAAAACACCAAGAGAUCCCUUCCUGGGAUGUCUCUAAGCCUCCUCACCUCCUGUUCAGCUGCUCAGUUUGCCCUCCCUCGCCUUCUGCGCCAAUGUAUUAACUGUUGCCAGGCCGAUAGGUGCCAAAGUUAACACCCUCGAUGUGCUAUCUCUUCUUGUCCCAAGAUGGAGCUGAUAAUGGCAUUGCCACCACAGUGGGCAGCGCUGGCACAUGUAGACUGCUGUCCAUGCGCGGGACGGCAGGUGAAAUAUAAGACCAGAGUCUGUGGAUGGGCAAUGAAAAAUGGAGGCAAGGCUGAGCAUUUCAGAGAGAGAGGGCAGGGGACAGACAGACAGAAGGACAGAGAAGAUGGAGGAAGAAGAUGAACCAGAUCCACGUGGCUUGAAAUAGCCACAGGUGGCAAUGAAUAUCAUAGAAGGGAUAGAAUAAUACAGGACAAUUUGUCCAAUCUAGGUGGGCAGCUCGUAUCCAUACCAAUUGGCUCUGAGUUCAUCGUGUGAGGGUUUUGUGAGAAUUUACUGAUAUAAAUCUGACCGAUAGAUUACAAGCCUCUAGAGUUUUGAUUUUACUGGGUUACGGGGAAUUGUGAUAGCUUUCCACAGGAUGACUGGGAAUGUGAGCGGGUUCCUCCCAGAGAAGUUGGGCAGAUGCCUCAUGGGGUUCACCACGGGGCAGAGAGACCACCAGGGCUGGAGAGUAGCCAGCCAUAGCGUGGGUUGGAUUGUCUCAGUGGGCAACGCUGGGACACCCUUAAAGUUCUUGCACAUGAUGUUGACAUUGGGCUGGGCAGUCUUUCCAUCUCUUGUUUUCCAAUGGUUAAUCGAUCCUGUUAGUCUUUGACUCUAACCUCAAUCCUACUACGUCAAGAAUCUUCCUCACGUUGUUUCAGCCUAGCCUAUGCUCUUACAAAAGCCCUAUAACAGUUUUCUUCAAAUUUCAUUUUGUACAUUCUUUUAAUCUAUUUCUAAAACUAAUCUUUGUGCAGUAUACAGAAUCUUUAAUGUACAUCUAAAAAUGUUCCUUCUAAGUUUAAUUUUCUAUGUAUUUUACAGUCCUAUUGGCUCAGAAUUUUUUUAAAUGUUAGACAUAUAUACUUAGAUAUUCAAUUUAUACAGGAUAUCAACUAUACAUUUGGCAAAUCCGUUUCUCAUUGUAAACCAAUCAUCAAAGCCAGAUUAUUUUCUGUCGGAAAGUCUGACUUCUAUUUUUCAGUUCAGAUGAGCAUUUGAAUGUCCGCCCUGAAGACAACGAUCUCACUUGUCAACCCUAAUUCACAGAUGGCUGGCUGGGUGGGUGCAGAGGCAUGUCUUGGCCUUGCCAAGAGUUUACCUUUGAAAUGACAAAGGAGCAGCCACCAUCCGUGCUUCCUGAUGGCAUCUGUGCUGCCUUGGGAGCAAGGCAUCCUCUGACUGCCUCUGCUUUUGCUGCCUUGGCGCAAUCCACAUUAAUAAACUUUUAAGUUGGAAGGGAGAUGAUUCUUCACCCCGGGGGAUUUAAAAGACAGUGGAAGAAUUGGAUAACCACAGGCUUGACAUAUUAAUUAGGUAAGGACAGUCAGAACUGAGAAUCUAGAAAUGUGUUCCCCUAAAAUUAACCAAGGGAUUCAUAGAAAGCCGUUGGUUUCCCUCCCAAGAGCCAGCAUUCCGUUUGUCCUGAAGACCCCAUGUGGAGUCCAUGGGAACCCAAAGUCUACCUCCACAUGUAGAUGGGCGUGGGAACAAUCGAGCUUACCAGCUCUCUGGUACACAGUUCAGUUUUAAGCUAUUCCCUUGAGAUCAGCAACUCAGCUCCCCUCAGCUCAACAGCACGAAGACCCAAGUUGAUCCCCAGAACUCACAUGAAAGGCCGACACGGGCGGUACAGGCUUAUAAUUCUAUCCCUGGAGACAUGGGGACAAGGAGGAUCCAUGUGGCUCAUUGGCCAAGUUGCCUAGUCUAAUCCAUAAGGGGCAGGUCCAAGUAAGCGAGUAAGAGAUCCUAUCUCCAAAACACAUGAAAGAUGGCUUUUAUGAGUAACUAAACUCUGCCCUCCAUAUGUAAAAAGAAAGAGAGAGAGACAGAGACAGAGACAGAGACAGACAGAGAGACAGAGACAGAGAGAGGAAGAAGGAGGGAGGGACGGAGGG